This 447-nucleotide ribosomal RNA is filed under the name uncultured bacterium. Its description in RNAcentral is "SSU rRNA". It matches the Rfam family "Bacterial small subunit ribosomal RNA", at positions 26 to 518 of the family's 1533-position model. The record is from RNAcentral.
AGAACGAACGCUGGCGGCAUGCCUAACACAUGCAAGUCGAACGAGAUCCUUCGGGGUCUAGUGGCGCACGGGUGCGUAACGCGUGGGAAUCUGCCCUUAGGUACGGAAUAACUCAGGGAAACUUGUGCUAAUACCGUAUGAUGUCUUCGGACCAAAGAUUUAUCGCCUAGGGAUGAGCCCGCGUAGGAUUAGCUAGUUGGUGGGGUAAAGGCCUACCAAGGCGACGAUCCUUAGCUGGUCUGAGAGGAUGAUCAGCCACACUGGGACUGAGACACGGCCCAGACUCCUACGGGAGGCAGCAGUGGGAAUAUUGGACAAUGGGCGAAAGCCUGAUCCAGCAAUGCCGCGUGAGUGAAGAAGGCCUUCGGGUUGUAAAGCUCUUUUACCCGGGAAGAUAAUGACUGUACCGGGAGAAUAAGCCCCGGCUAACUCCGCGCCAGCAGCCGC